RNAcentral lists this long non-coding RNA (221 nucleotides) under Populus trichocarpa (black cottonwood). Its description in RNAcentral is "long non-coding RNA (PTRI_LNC002119)". Lineage: Eukaryota; Viridiplantae; Streptophyta; Magnoliopsida; Malpighiales; Salicaceae. The record is from RNAcentral.
UUUACUAUUGAGCUGGUUGAAAAUUUAGUUUUUUUGUCUUUUUCUUUAAAACACUGUAGCUUUCCCCACGUGGUUUUUUUUCCGCUUUUGUUUUCUUUUUUGUACAUUUUUUUUUCAUUUCUUUUACCCAAAAUUGACUUCUUUUUUUUUUAGAUAGCCUUUGUCGGUUUUUUUUAUAUAUUGAGCUGGUUGAGAGAUUAGCUUUGUAGCUUUUAAAAAAA